GAACUUCUGUGCAUCUAUCAUGUGCAAGAAGGUAAACAAAGCAGGGCUUCACAAUUCGCCCAGUGCAGGAUUUGGCUACACUCUUCUCUGUUGGAUUUAUUAGAUAAUGCAAACACAGCCUGGAUCAAGAGUUUUGCCAGCACAAAUUCACUGUGCAGUGCAGAAAGCAUAGACCAGGCAGUGAGCUAAUGGAGUCACCAUGCUCUCAUUCAGCACUUCGAACAGCCCUGGUUUUGGCAACAGCCACCCUGAGUGUGAAGUCACAACAAGGACACAGCUGUUUCCUGAAAGCAGCAAAGCAGAAUGGGUGAGGAUUCCUCUUACAGGAAUAUUCACAACUGUUCACACUCAGCUUCCCCAGAUGUGCCCAGAAACCAAGACCAAGGGAAGCACACGCAAGCCAGGGGAGCAAGAAAGCAACAUGUGAACGCUCAGGAUGGAGUUGUGUUUGAUGUGUCACCACCAAGGGACUCCUCUCUGGUUUACACCACCGACAAAUGGACCCUACCCCCACUUAGGUGUCUGCUGCUGAACUGAACCGUCAGGGUGGAGCAUAAAUUAGUCUGACGAACCUCUAAAAGGAAUCAAGGCUAAAGGACACAAAUGGAUGCAUUAAGCUCAUUAAACUGUUAAGCACCAAGUGAAAACCAUAAAUCGCUCAAAUGCAAAUUACAGGUAGGUACAGAAAGCAGCCAUUCCUGAGCGUGCCUCUGUCCCAUCAGAAAUGUCACAGCAUUCUCCAGAAAGAUCAUUUUCCCAGCUUCAGCUGUCACAGCCGUGACCCCUUGCCUUCCAGGAGCCACUUACUGGCCCUGUGAAGGACACAGAGCAAAGCAAGGCAAGCCUGGAUUCCAAGAUCAGCCUGGUUCCAUCCCCAGAUAAUGAAGUUCUAUCUCCUUCUGAUCCUCCCAUUGUAUCUCCUGGGAGUCUGUAUCCUGCUAUAGGAAAAUGACAAAGCUGAGAGAAUCCCAAUCCUUCCCAGGGUGGGUUCACACCACCAAAGCUUUGGGAAGACCCUCAUGUUCCCUCUAUCACCGAGCCUGUCAUCUUUGGAGGUGGUGCAGGAUUUAGUGUGCUGCGAGGUCUGCAUCGGACUGAUGGGGAUGGGACUCCUCUGCUCUCUCCAUUUCCUUGCUGACAUGGAAUCUGAAGUUCUGCAGUCCGCUUCCAGCAGGCUUUGGCCUUCCUAUUCCUGGCAUCUUCCCUUAUAGCUUCACCAAAAAGGCAGUUGCAAGGCCUCCAUAAGGAUGAUCACAGUUGGUAUCACCUCAGAAUGCUUCUUGAAGGGAGCCAAGGGUUAAGCUCCUGGGGACAGUUCUCUUCACACCAAGUGGCUCCAUGGGUGGCCUGCUGCCCUCCUGAGGGACCAUUACCCACACACCAGUGCUAGGAAACUCACUGUGCCUUUUACAGCCCACUCCUACUGGUCAUGGGGAGGGGCAGCCCAUCGCUCCCCAGCCCAGGGUGCUGUCUCUGAGCUAUUCCAACAUGGCUGCAGUGCCUCUGCUGCAGGACCCCUGAGCCCUGGCAUCUCCCCCUGUGUUUGCAAGCUCUCCUCUUAACCGAAGACCCUUAGCAGGUCAAGUUGGCUUUGCCUUUUCCCCUUUGUAGUGGACCGUUUCCUUCUAUCACGUCCUCUAAGGCCUCCUGAGGAGCUCUCCAAGGAGUCUGUGAUGUCAAAACACACUGUAAAUCAUUUAUCUGCAGCUUUCCCAAGCAGGAGCCCACAAGUGCUGCCAUGUCCCUCCGGGUCAAUUCCCACCGUGCUAUCAGAGCUGCUCAGUGGGUUCUCAGCCUCCAAAAAUUCCUUCCGCUCUUUCUCACCGCAUUACAGAGAGCACAAAUGGGUGCCAAAAACUGAGCCCUGCAUUCCCCACAUCCUGACUCGAAACAGAUAUCAACAGAGAAUUACACAGGCUGUGCAAUGCGUUAUCCCUGCAGAAGCUUUUCCAUGCCUAUUAGAAGCCAGUCUUCCUACUAAAAAUGUAAAACCAUCUCGGAAAAGGUUGCAUAGAAAUAUCCCAUUACUUUGUAGAGUCUUACGCUGUUCAUAACUCUUUUUUUUAGAUCAACAUAUUGGCAGCUUCUCCUCUAAAAUGAAAUGAUUGCUUGUGAUGAAGCUGUGAUGAAGAAGCAUUUCUACACCCCUCAGUGUGCUGGUAGCAGAGUGCUGCCUCACUCCUACACAUCUCAACUCAGCUGACAAUCUCCUGCCCAGCUGUUACUUUCUCACCCAUUGCACUGUUCCAGCAGCACUACUAUUGAGUAACUCCGGUCCAAAGGAGAAUUCUGUCUGUCCUCCCCUGCAGGUUUUGAAUAGAAGGGUAGAUGUGGCACUCAGGGACGUGGUCAGUGGGUGUGGUGGAGAUGGGUUCAUGUUGGACUUGAACUUAGAGGUCUUUUCCAACCUUAGUGAUUCUGUGAUUCUAUGACUUUUCCAUAUAGAGUGCCUUCAGAGAGCAAUGGCGUUAGGGAAAGGAAGGGAGGCUGAUGAAAAGUCCACAUCUGACCUUGCAAUUGCUUUGAGUCUUCUGUAUCAUGCAAGGAAGCCAACUGACACUGGAGAAGACAAGGAGGGAAGGAGGAACAUAUGACUUACCUCCAAGGAUGCCAGCACAUUUCUGACUCACUGACAAAACUGGUUCUUAUCCAAGGUGUUCUCUGGUGUCACAUUUUUGCAAGACCUUGAGGGCACAUCCUUACACUGACAGUGCUUGGCUGAAGGAAUGUGAGAUCCAUGCUGACUCCACAGGCAGUACUACAGUGUUCCGAAGAAGUGGCUUGGAGUUGCUCUGGUGACAGAGUAACCCAUAUGUUUUAUUUGUAUUUAUAGCAUGGCUUGGGUUGGAAGGGACCUAAAAGAUCACUCCCUUGCCAUGGGCAGGGUUGCCAGCCACUAGAUCAGACUGCCCAGGAGCAAACCUUGUCUGUGCAAAUGGGCCGGUACUCACCAUAACAGGGAAUAAAGCAAAUACUAUCCCACCUGCUGCUGCUCCCACCUGCCUCUGCUUUUCUCCUCCUAUGUCCCUUGCAUUACACAAACCUGAUCCAGCAGCAGGUUCAGAGCUGAUUCUCAGGAUCGAUCCACCAAGAUGUUCCUAAGCAGAAUCAGUCAAAGCCAAGCCAAGCAUCUGCUCACUCUGUCUUUUCUCCCUCAGUGCAAAACUAGGAAUCAUUUGUGCUCUCCAGUAAGAAAAUAAAGAAAUAGAUUUACCUCAUCAGAAAAUCUUUUAAGCU
This 3237-nucleotide long non-coding RNA is filed under the name Gallus gallus (chicken). RNAcentral's name for it is "lncRNA (ENSGALG00010027591.1)". Lineage: Eukaryota; Metazoa; Chordata; Aves; Galliformes; Phasianidae. The record is from RNAcentral.